Molecule: ribosomal RNA, 253 nt
Filed under: uncultured bacterium
Lineage: Bacteria
Description: partial 16S ribosomal RNA
Rfam family: Bacterial small subunit ribosomal RNA
Source: RNAcentral
UACGGGGGGGGCAAGCGUUGUUCGGAAUUACUGGGCGUAAAGGGCUCGUAGGUGGCCAACUAAGUCAGACGUGAAAUCCCUCGGCUUAACCGGGGAACUGCGUCUGAUACUGGAUGGCUUGAGUUUGGGAGAGGGACGCGGAAUUCCAGGUGUAGCGGUGAAAUGCGUAGAUAUUGGGUGGAACACCAGUGGCGAAGGCGGUGCGCUGGGCCGGAACUGACGCUCAUGAACGAAAGCGUGGGUAGCAAACAGG